AAUCAACGCUGGCGGCGUGCCUAACACAUGCAAGUCGAACGCGAGAGGGGCUUCGGCCCGAUUGAGUGGCGAACGGGUGAGUAACGCGUGGGCGACCUACCUUCGAGUGGGGGAUAACGUCCCGAAAGGGACGCUAAUACCGCAUAACAUCCUGCUUUUGAAUGGGUGGAGAUCAAAGCCGGGGAUCGCAAGACCUGGCGCUUGAUGAGGGGCCCGCGUCUGAUUAGCUAGUUGGNGAGGUAACGGCCCACCAAGGCAACGAUCAGUAUCCGGCCUGAGAGGGCGGACGGACACACUGGGACUGAGACACGGCCCAGACUCCUACGGGAGGCAGCAGUGGGGAAUUGUUCGCAAUGGGCGCAAGCCUGACGACGCAACGCCGCGUGGAGGAUGAAGGUC
RNAcentral lists this ribosomal RNA (399 nucleotides) under uncultured bacterium. Its description in RNAcentral is "bacterial SSU rRNA". It matches the Rfam family "Bacterial small subunit ribosomal RNA", at positions 29 to 416 of the family's 1533-position model. The record is from RNAcentral.